This 20866-nucleotide long non-coding RNA is filed under the name Triticum aestivum (bread wheat). RNAcentral's name for it is "long non-coding RNA (TAES_LNC012971)". The record is from RNAcentral. Lineage: Eukaryota; Viridiplantae; Streptophyta; Magnoliopsida; Poales; Poaceae.
UCUUUUCUUUUUCCUUUUUUUAAUUCUAUUCUUUGUGCUCUUUCUUUUUUAAUCCAGCACAAUUGGUUGCUAUCAUCCACUAGUAGCGGUUUUUAUCUACCGCAUGCAUAGGCCAAAGUACUAACACAAAAGUGUUAGUUUUUGCAGCACGGUUUUUAAGGUCUAAUUAACCAACAGUGCAAACUAGCCUUGCACUAGCGUUUCAUUAGCAUCUAGAUGUGGAUUUUUCGUCCGCAGUCUGGUGGAUGCCGUAUCUGCAACCGGAUUUUCCCCAUAAAAAAGUGUGCAGGGUAGUACUAGUCCGAUGAGUUCAGGCUUUUUCACCUCGAAUUUCGGCGCCUCGCUACUCGAACAGGAAUAUCAGGUUCUAUUUUUUCAGUUACCUGCACAGCAUAUGUUAAAUACGUACUGAAUAUUGUUCCGUUGGUUUGCAUGAUUUUUUCUGUGUAAACCUUUAGCGACCGAUCUAAAAUUCGGUCCGUCGACGCGGCGGCCCCAUCCGAACAUAAAGUCACAUGAGGACUUCGGUAUCACCGAAAGAGCUAUACCUCAGCGGGUGUUCGGCGCACGGGCCAUAUUUCUAUUAUUAUUAGCUUUGCUUAAAAUAUUAAUUAUGCAACGAAUUUUUUACUUUAUUAUUAUUACCUCUGCCUUGCACUAUCGUAUGUGUGCAGAUAAUUAAUUUUUUGUUGCAUCACGCAGUCACCUCGGCGUACAGAGUCGUCCUCUCGCCUCCAUCAACCAAAUUUCCACCUUCACCAUGGUGUGAUACCCUGUGUCGCCAUCAUCGCGUCGUCGCUUCAUCAAACUAACGUUCACCAUGCCGACCUGUUUUGACACGUCGACUGGCGUGGGGGCUUCAUUAUCACGCUGCUGAACUACUCUGUCUCAUCGGCUGGACCGGGGGCUUCGCCUCGGCACUUCGGCACUGUUAUGCUAUCACUUCAUCAAGCCGAGCUUUUCGCUUGGGUACGUCACGACCGGCUUGGGAAUUGGGAACUUGAGCUGCUACAAGCUCGGCCCACGUCACGCCGAGCAAAUUAACCAGCUAAGUCGCUUUCAUGCUCAAAAAUAUUUGGUUUUAUAUUUUGUUCGGUUUGACCAAGUGUUAUACUUUUUUGACAAAAAGUCGUUUGCGGAAAACUUUCUUUGUCAAAACCUCGUUUGUUACAAACAAAUUCAAAUACCCCAUUUAGUUGGGGGCUUCCUUUAUGAAGCCUUUCCUCUUGCAUAUGAUUAUACUUGUAUGGCUUCGUUCCUUGUUCGUGUAUUACGCCACAAUAUGCAUCAUGUUGACUUAAGUGUUCCACAAGUUGGGUUGCGUUGCUCCUUUGUUUACCCCUACUUUCUCGAUUGUUCGGCUAGGGAGUAAAGGGAGCACCUCUGCGAUUCUCACGAUCGGGUCAUGCGAGCUCAGACCUCAGACUGGGUGAAGCCGAAAGCUAGCGCUCUUAUUGUUUUCAAUCAUGGUCGGCACACAACGGAACUCAUGAGUACAAAAAAUCUAUUGCACAAGUCUUAUAGUAACAAUGAGCGACCGAAGAAAGGUAUCGGUGGGGGUACUAUUUUCUUCGAAGAUGCUUCUUACACUUCGUCAGUAAUAUAGCAUAAGUUCCCUGAGCACGCUUUGCCUGUUACAGCCUUAUGGUCUGACUGCCUGGUUAUCAGAAACACCGUCGAUAUUCUCGACAGGUGGAGUACAUAACACUUUUCGGCCCUUGACCGAAGAGGGAGAAGCCGACGGUCGGUUAAGACGCGUUUAAAGUUCGGGUGAACAUAGAUAUGAUAUAAUUACUUCGGUACAUACAAUCAUUAUACAUAAAAUUCUUUUACCCAAGUAACUUGGGGGCUCUUAAAUUAGUAUGAGCCAUUUUUGUUAGUCGUUGUACAGUCUUUUGCUACCACUCCUUUCUCGACUCAGGUGUAUGAUCAAUAGCCAGGUAGCCUGGUUUCUCUGUAAAGCCGCUCGCGUUUAGUUCACUAAACUGGCCUGAGAAACACUCCGCCUUCGGGAUAGGGAGGUUGAAGCCGAAGGCUGACCCACUUGAAGUCUAGAGAUCAGAUGUGUCAGGUCAAAGCACGGUGAAAUUAUAAUUUUAAGACCAAUUUCAUAUUGGCACCAAAAUAGCUUGAUUCAAUCUAGACGUAAAGUUUUUUACGCAUGUUUGUUGGCAUUUUUUUGAGCUUAUAACAUCUUUCACCUAUUUUCUGUUUCAGGAAGCGGGACAUUCUCUUGGUUGAGGUGUUCGGCGUGAAACUCUUUUCUAAAACUACAGUUCGGCAUCUUUCCUGCUGAACUCCACCUCGGUAUUGUCAAAACAUACAUGACAGUUGAACUUGUUCCCGAGGAGGUACGAUCCUAGGGUCGGCCAUCUUGCCCAACCCAAUUCUCAGGGGCUACUGCAUUGACAAUCCAAUGCAGAAAAUUGAAGUGCAAUAUAGUUUUCGAGGAGAUUAUGAUCCUCAGGUUGGUCAGCCACACCCAACCUGAGUCUCGAGGACUUUGCACACCGCUUUUUGUGUCCCGAAGUAUUCUGCCGAGCUAGGAGUUGAUCCUCGGGCCCAUUUUGCGAAUCAACCUGAGUCUCAGGGGCUACUGGGAUCAGCGGUCUUAUGUCAUCCUUCAGGUGCAUCUCCGGUUUUAGACCGAUACACACAUUGAGGGCUACUGGCUAUAUAUCUCAGCAGAGAAUAAAUUGCACCAAUCAAAAUAUUGAUAAAAAAUCGGCCCGCAGUCAUGGUGGUGCAUCACCUCGGAAGCAGUCCGGCAAAGCUCGGGCGCCAGUGGCUGGCUCCAUAGAGGGCAUUUCCAGCAUUAAGCUCGGCUAAACUCCUUCAACUUUUUUGAACCAAGGUGAUCUAUGACACCUCAGAUAUAGUCCGGCGUUGGAGCUUGGACACAGUCCGGCGUUGGAGCUCGGAUACUGUCCCGCGCUGGAGCUCGGAUGCAGUUCGGCGUUGGAGCUCAGCUGUAACAAUACUCUUCGGAUACAGUCCGGCGUUGGAGCUCGAAUACAUUCCGGUGUUGGAGCUCGGAAGCGGUCCGGCGUUGGUGCUCGGCUGCAAAAGAUACCUCGAAUGCAGUCCGGCGUUGGAGCUCGGACGCAAGAGGACGCUGCCGCCCAGGAACAACUUCAAACCCGAGGUGUGGCAUAAAAAUAACAAGGCAUUGAUAAAGGUCGGAAACAUAAAAGGGCUCCUCGAAUACCCGACGUGUAAACUCUUCGGAUGCACUUCGGUGAUCCUCAAGAUCGAAGAUGAGAAGAUUUGUUGAACCAGUUUUCAAGACCCACGACCGAAGAUGAAGAACAUUUCGGAAGAAUUGAGGAGCGUCCCCAACUUGAAGACCGGUUUACGGGGCUACUGACGGUGUCCUGGACUAGGGGGUACUCACCACGUCGUCUCCCGACCAGCUGGAUCGGGCCGAGGACCCCCAUGGCGGUUCACUCAUGGGCCACUUCGGGCAGCCCAUGCCGAAUACAAAGAGGAUUCCACAAGACUUGGCGCACAAGACAAGGACCCCUCUAAACCCUAGGCCUACGGUGCAUAUAUAAACCGAGGCCAGGCUAGUCAAUGGACAAUCUCAUAUUCACUACUACAAUCUCGUGGUAGAUACAUGUACUCUGUACUACACCCAUAUGAAUACAAUCAAAAGCAGCAUGUAGGGUAUUAUAUCUUCGAGAGAGCCCGAAGCUGGGUAAAAUCCCGUGUCCAUGUUACCAUCGCUCCAAGACGCCUAGCUUAGGACCCCGACUACGAGAUACGCCGGAUAUAGAACCGACAGUAGCCUCUGCAAGUGGGGUGGCAGCAUUGGAGGACUUCUUUGUUGGUGGUAUUCCUUUGAGUGCCGAGUCAUGAUUUUCAGGGUGAAAACUCAAGGUCUGGCUUUUUUGGUUGUGCCUGGCAGUGACCUUAUUGAAGGCAUUGUUGGGAACACGGUCUUUCUUCAGGGUGAAAACCUACGAUCUUUGAUUGGGCAACGACAACGCUUAUGCAUUGUUUCCUUUCUGGAGGCGUUGCUUUUGGAGAACCUUCUUUCUAGUCCGGGUGCUGUCUUUGUUGGUGGUUAGAGUGCUGCUACUACGGGUAAUUGAUCACCAUGGCAGGGUCGUUUCUUUUCUCUUUUUCCACUUUUUUUCCUUUUUAGAUGUGUGCAUCCUAGAUGUGUUUAGGCAUCUUGUUGGUGUAGAGGCUGGGUGUAAUUGGUAUCUUCUUGAUAUUAAUAUAUUCCCUUUAUAAAAAAACAAUUCCAUUAGUUCAAAUUAAGCAAAGAUCAACACUUUCCAAAUCAGCUGGUUCUUCCAUCUUCAAAUCUAGUGUUGAAGAAAUGGAGAAAGAAAAUGUCUGUUUACUUGUGCAAAAAUAGCACAUGGUAGUACACGGAUCAGAUGGAAAAUCAAGAUGGAGAAAACUUCCACUAGACAUCAAAUGAGCUCCAAAAAGAAAAGAAUCUCAGUGCUUCGGUACAUACUGGUGAGCAACUCUGCAUCAACCACAGGCAUGAGAAUGUCCAUAGCUAAUGCAAAAUGCUAACUCAAGAUAACCUGAGCAUUGGGUCACUCAUGCCACCGCAUUAGAAUGUCCUCUGUGAAAUAGUGUAGUACUGCACUGAAGAAAGCUAGUGUCGUUUGAGAUAUGUGAGAAGCAGCACAAAAAAAAGAUGACCAGGUUCAGGUUUGCUCAGAUUCACCUGAUGAUUCAGAUGGAGAUGUGUGACGACCCAAGUUGUCACAGAGCGUUUCAUCAUCACAUGGCCAUUCUAAAGUGGGGUGAGAGAGGCUCGACCUCAGGAUCACUCGCAUUAUUAGCUAUGAGACCUACGCGCUAGCCAACUCCCCCACCACCCCCUUGUUGGAUUAGUGGAGAAAUAAUGUCUCUUUAUAACAAUUCCUUUGGUUCAAAUUAAGCAAAGAUCGGCACUUUCCAAAUCAGCUGGUUCUUCCAUCGUCAAAUCUAGAGUUGAAGAAAUGGAGAAAGGAACUACAUACAUUAAGUUGCAUCAGAAUGUCCACAACUCAUACACAACUGAGGAUAACCUGAGCAUUGAGUCACUCAUGCCACCGCAUCGAGAUCACAACAGAUCCUUCCUAGCACCAAGCGGAAAUAAUCCAAGUCGCAACUUAAUAUCUUGAUAACCAAUUUGGUACAGCACUGAGUGACUGCGGCUCGUCAUUGCGCUGAUACAGAUCGAACUAACUGUGCGCUUACUUACGCAGCAACUAUGUCCGGCCAAAUCUUCCAUAAGCAAGAACAGAAAUGGGCACUUGUAAACUAGUAGGUAGGCACCACAACUACGGGUUUCCAUACAGAACCAAUGCUGUCCUUACAAAAUGUAGUAGUAGAACGGAGAUCCCAGCGGAGCAACCCAAGAUCGCUCACUUGAAACAGCUCGUGCAUCUGGGUCUUGAACUGAUCAAUGGCGUUGCCAGUGGUGCCCGUGAUGAUCAAGUCAUCCACGUACACUCCCACCAGCAAGAAGUCGACGUCGUCUCCUCGCCAAAACCUUGCUUAAACUAAAGGAACUCAGAUGGACACAAACUAAACCUUGUUUAAACUGGUACUUGACUUCCCACACUAACACCAACCUAUGCAAGUUUAGAUUAUUUCUGGAAAAAAAAUAACUUAGUACAAAGAUACACCAUAUAUUUACCAUUUACAAAAUUUCAAAUUCAAAUUCAACCUACAACUCAAGAAACGAAAAGACAGAACUCUAUUUUUGGCACCUCAACAACUAAUCAACAAGUGAGAAUUUCAUCCCUUAAAUCAUGUUAUGAAUGGAGUGUCGGUUGAGCCAACUAACACUAACAUAGCUGAAUUUGUUGGUUUUUGUUUCUUGUGUUUCAAAUUUUGAUUUGAAAGUUUGUAACAUGACAAGAUUGAUUGCAGCACAUACGGUUCACCGGUUGCACCACAUUCGUCCGUGUUUGAAGGGAUAAGAUCAAUGGUUGUAACAGCCAUUGUAUUGUAGUAGUACAUUGCUUGAGCGACAACUUAUGUACAUUUUACUUACUCCUCUCUAUAUGUAUGUAUACACUGCAAAAGAUAAGAAACUUCCCAAAAAAAGAGAUAAGAAACUAAGAGUGGAAUUUGUCUGACCAUGGAAGGAAUGCUGAUCCUGGGGAAGUUAGUUGUAACAGCCAUCCUUGAUAUAGCAGGGAGCAGAGCAUCUCAGUUUGAAAAGAAGAUUCUUUGAGAAUGAAGCUCAUCUCUAGAGAAAGAAGCUUCUUGGAGAAUCAAUCAAUGGCAUGUGUAGCAGCAGAAGCUCCACUGCACCUGCACUCUGUCCAUAUAAAGAGGGGCAUAGUGCAGCCCAACGAUCCUCACAGUCACAGGCAAGAGAGAGGAAGAACCACAAGUCCAUAAGCAAUGGAGGGGAGAAACAAGGAGAGGGUGAUGGCCGGCGCCGUCUUUGUGCUCUUCAUCCUGCUGUCGGCCCAGCGGCUUCCGGUCGGAGUUGCCGACCCCGCCACGUCGGCGUUCUGCCAGUGCUACCUGGGCUGCUUUCAGUUUGACCCAGAGUGCAGCGGCGAAGGGUGGCAAAGGUGCCAUGAUUACUGCUGCGCCAUAGCGUGCCGCUUCCCUGGGGACGCCGACUUCGACAGGGUGUGCGAGGGGACGGGCGGGCAGCAGGCUUGCGGCACGGAGGCCACCCUGGACACCGACCAUAUUGGUUAACUAAUUGGUCUCCCGACCGUGAAUUCAUGGUUUCUCUUGUCUGCAUUUUAGUGGUACUACUCCUACUACUGCUGCUGAUGAUGCUGCGGCCAAUUACUGGAGCGGCCGCCAUGGCAAGGCCAAGGCCAAGCACGGCUAGACUCACUGUGGAGGCUGCACGGAAGCCGUCCUGUGAUGAUGCAUGAUAUGAGUCUUGAUGUGUUGUGAUGUCUGAUCAUAGAUUAUAAAUGACAGCCAGUUUAUGUACAUCUUAUUUUGCUACAGUAUAUAAUAAAGUCUCAUGCGAUUUAGUGAUAAUAUGGUUAUCACUAAAUAUAUUUGAUGUGCAUCGUAACAUAUAAUAUAUUUGACAUGAACGUAGCCUGUUUCGAGAAACUAGAGAGCAAAGAAUGAGAGAUGACGAUGUUAAAUACUAAAAAGACUUUGGAUGGUUUCACUCGGAUCGGUGAAAUUCACUCAUGUUGUUUCGCCAAAUGAAUCAGGGGCGUAUCAGUCCCUCAAAACAACUUCGCAGUUCAAUUUUCACACACUCGGUUCUUUAACUUGAUCCGCCAAAGCAUAGGUCUCUCAAAAAAUCAUGAAUAAAGCUUCCCAAACUAAACAUUUUUCUAGUGCACUCGGUAUGAAAGAAUUUGGUUGAUUUUCACUCAAUUUAGUGAAACUUACUCUUUUUUUUUCCUUUUCAAAACGAAACAGGCACGUGUUAGCCUCGAAGGCAUCGCAUCUCUCAAGAGAACUUGGCAGUUUUAUUUUUCAAACUCUGUUCUUUAAUUUCAAAAAAUCUGCCAAAGAAUCAAUCAAUAGUAUCUGGUGAACCAGCAUGUAGUAACUACUGUAACCGUUGCAAAAUAACAUGUCCGUAUAUAGGCUUAUGCAACAGAAAUGGUACUAGUUGCUAUUCCUCUCUAUGUGUAUGUACACAUUGCAAAGGGUAAGAAGCUUCGAAUGCAAUUUAUUAAUUUACAACAUUUCUAAUCCUCAUCGUGAUCAGAAAUGUUGUAACGGCAAUUUAUUAAUUUAUUAAGGUUUUUUCCCAGUUAGGAGAAGCUUCUUCCAGAAGCAAUGGCGUACUAACAGCACAUCCCCAGUGUGCUCCAUAUACAGAGGGGCAUCUUGCACCCCAACAACUGUUACAGUGCACCCAACUUGAAAACACACGGCAAAAGUUACUAAAAAGACUUAAAAUAACUUAACACAAAGACACACCAUAUAUUUACAGUUAACAAAAUUUCAAAUUCGAAUUUAGCCUACACCUUAAGAAACGACGGUAAUAAAUCGUGUUAUGUAUGAAUAGUAGUUACAAUAAACUGGACCAUCAGUUGAGCCAACUAAUGUAAGACUACCGUAGCUGAAUUUGAUUAUUAAUUUUCUCGUGGUUCAAAUUCGGAUUUGAAAGUUUGUAACAUGAGAUAUGCAAGUUCUAUGCGUUAAAUUGUUUUCAGCUUUUUUUUGACAAAUUUUAACGUGUGGUUUUCAUGUACCAGUGGUGCACCGGUUGCAGCACAAACUUGGGUGCACCGGGCACGUCCUUGCUCAGAGGGAUAAGAUCGAUGCGCGUAUGUAGUAGUACAUUGCUUGAGCGGCAACAACUUGUGUACAUAUUAGUACUUACUCAUCUCCAUACGUAUACAUUGCAAGAUAAGAAACUAAGAGUGGAAUUCGUGCGUUGAUUCAUAGAACAGGGAAACAACCCUCCUAGGGGAAGUUAGUUGUAACAACCAUCCUUGAUACGGCAGCAGCGGAGCAGAGCAUCCCAGUUUCAAGACAAGAUUCUUUGAGAAUGAAGCUCUGCUCAUCUCUGGAGAAAGAUGCUUCUUCAGGAUCAAUCAAUGGCAUGUGCAGCAGCACAAGCUCGUCGACAGAAACCCUUCUCCACUGCACCUGCACUCCUACCCUAUAAAGAGGGGAAUGGUGCAGCCAGCCCAAUGAUCCUCACAGGCAAGAGAGAGGAAGAAGCACAAGUCCAGAAGCAAUGGAGGGGAAGAAGAAGGAGAGAGUGAUGGCCGCCACCAUCUGCGUGCUCGCCAUCCUGCUGUCAGCCCAGCGUCUGCCCGGUCGGGGUUGCCGACCCCGCCAAGUCGGCGUUCUGCCAGUGCUAUGUGUGCUGCUACCAGGGCUGCAAGGUCAACGACUGCAGUGAUUGCUGCGCCGGCUGCUACUUCCCUGGCGACCCCGACUUCGAGAACGGGUGCCGGAUGCCCGGCGGGAAGCAGGCCCCGGUCUGCGGCACGGAGGCCACCGGCGGCGGUGAGUACGAUGGACACCGACCGACCAUAUUGGUUAAUUGAUUGCUCUCCCGUUCUCCGUUUGUCUCUGAAUUGAUCGUUUCUCUUGUCUGCAUUUUGCUAGAUACUAUUUGUAUCACUGCUGAAAGUGCUGCGGCCAACUACUGGAGCCGCCGCCACGGCGAGGCCAAGGCCAAGGCCAAGCACGGCUAACGGGGUGCUGCACGGAAGCCGUCCUGUGACUGACGAUGAACGUUCGUCUCUGAAUUAUUGAGUCGUUGAUGUGAUGUCUACUUAUGUUGGUGCAUCUUAUUUUACUACGUAGUAUAUAAUAAAGUCCCGUGCGAUUUAGAGAUAAUAUGUUUGUACUAUAUAUAUAGUAGUAAUAUAUUGAUAUGAGGAGCGUUGCAAGCUGAAACAAAAGAGCAAAAUCAAUGAGAUGGCAAAGUUAAAUAUUUAAAGGACAAGUUUGCAGUUAAAUUGCACAAAUUCGGUUACUUGACUUACCAGAGCAUAAGCAUCCCAAACUAACAACUUUUUCUAGUCUAACAGACUAGCUCUCUGCCAACUGUUUACAUACAAAAAUAAGGUGAUCGAAGAACAGCAACCAUGCAACUCUAACAACGCAGGUGAAUGCAUAUCCAAUAAGAAAAGAAAAAGGAGUGUGCACAUGCGUUUGCAGUUUACACCGGUACAUCUAGUUUUAUGUUAAUAAGUCAGAUCAGGUUCACCGAUGAGGUCUGGGAAUGAAAAGUCGCAGGCUGGGGGGUGUGAUCUAUAGUUCCCAGUGAUUGAGAACAGUAAGCUGGCCUUAACUUCUGAAUACUCUCUGUAACUUCUUUUUAGCCCCCAUAAACCCCCCAUGUAAAUCCUGUUUGCAGUCUUAAUAUAUCGAUGCGGCGUUGCUGCAUUCGCCCCCAAAAACAAUCAGAUCAAGUCACAGGUCUGUUCGAUGGUGAAAUGAUUACUACUUAAUCAGAGCAAGUUGUUGUUGAUCAGCUAAUAUACUGGUCAUUAUUUCACAUGGUGCCACUAAUGCAACCGUUGCAAAAUUGUACUGCUAUGCCUACUAUUGAGGCUUAUGGAUCAGAAAUGGGACCCUGAAAACGAGCAUGAGCACACAAGCCUAUAUCUAUCUACAUAAGUUGCACGCACAUAUACAUUGCUUGAGCAAGAACAAUUUGCGUGCUGCAUACUCCUCUGUAUAUCUAUGUAUGCAUUACAAAAUUAAGAAAGUGAUAAUAGAGUUUGCCAGUCGAUUCAUGAGACAGGGAGGGGUGAUUGGGGGCAUAUUUGUUGAAAUAAUAGGGUGGGCCUAGGGCGUAUCUAACAAUUUCUAAAAAUCUCUAAGGCCCAUGUUGGUUUAUUGGCACUAGGUGUAGUGGGAAGUUUAAUCCCACCCCGGAAGUUUGAGAGGAGUUGGACCUUCUUAUAAGGGUUUCUCUUUCGCAUGUUAUUGGAGCUUGAGAAGAAAAGAGGCCCUCGCGCACUCCUCCUCCGCCGCCCGCCUCGCCACGACAUGACGUGGGCUGCAGGAAUGAGCCGAGCUGAGCUCACACCUAUGCGUACACGGUCGAUGGGAGAGCAGGUCUCCAAAACCCCGCCUCUCCGGAUUCUGUACGGGAGAGGGGCGAAUAGAUUUUUGGGAAGCUAUGCCUAAUAUAGAGGCUUAUGGAUCAUAAAUGGGACCCUGAAAACGAGCAGACAAGCCUAUACCUUUAUAAGAUGCACGCACAUAUACAUUGCUUGAGCAAGAACAAUUUGCGUGCUACAUACUCCUCUGUAUAUGUAUGUAUGUAUUGCAAAAUUAAGAAAGUGAUAAUAGAGCUUGUCAGUCAAUUCAUGGAACAGGGAGGGGCAAAAUUAAGAAAGUGAUAAUAGAGCUUGUCAGUCAAUUCAUGGAACAGGGAGGGGUAGUUGUAACAGCAAAGUGUUUUAGCUCGCUCCAUCCUUGAUCCGGCAAGAGCAUCUGAGCUUCCAUACCUGCAAAAGGAAAAGCUUCUUGGAUAAUCAAGCUCGUCUAUGGAAAAACUUCUCCGAGAAUCAAUGGCGUGUGCGCCAGCACAAGCUUGCUUCACUUAUUAUCACUCCUUCUCCAUUCGUUCACUGCACUCCGUAUAAAGAGGGGCACCGUCGUACGUGCAACCCAACAGAAGUUGUCGCAGGCAAGGAAGAGUCCAUCAUCAAUGGAGGGGAAGAAGAAGGCGACCGUGAAGGCUGCAGCCGUCUGCGUGCUCCUCGCCGUCCUGCUGUCGGCGCAGCAGCUGCCGGCGGCGGACGCGGCGUCGGCGUUCUGCAAAUGCUACGUCAGCUGCUACUCCGACUGCAGGCUCAGGCACCCCCGGCUGUUCUGCAAGCCGCUCUGCGGCGUGGUGUGCGCCCUGGGCGGCCAGAUGGGCGGCGGGUGCCCGGGGGUCUGCGGGGAGGCCUCGGGCUGCGUCGUCGACGGCGAGUCGGACGCUGCUGAUGCUGAUGCGGCGGCGACCUGCGUGGAGGAUUGCCGCAAGCUCCGCAAGGCCAUGAACGGUUAGAGCCACCGGCUUUGGCCUUUGGGGUUGCUGAUGAUGUCUUUUGUGGUGGAAUAAUAAAUAAAUUGAUAUGUGAGUGUUGGAAGUAAAAGGCAAUGGGUAUGGCAAAUCAUAUACGUAUGAGAAUUUGGUUGGUUGUCACUCGGAUCAGUGAAAUUUACUGUGUUCUUUGUGAAAUAUUGUAGUACUACACUGAAGAAAGCUAGUGAUAGUUUGAGAUAUGUGAGAACCAGCAAAAAAAAAUAGAUGACCAGGUUCAGAGUUGCUCUAUUUCACCUGAUGAUUCAGAUGUAGUUGUGACGACCCAAAGUUGUCACAGAGCGUUUCAUCAUCACCAGGUCCAUUUUUAGGUGGGGUGAGAGAGGCUCGAACUCUCGACCUCAGGAUCACUCACGUUAUUAGCUAUGAGACCUACGCGCUAGCCAACUGCGCCACCACCCCUUUGUUGUAUGAUAAGCCAAACAUCGGAUUCUAUCUUGGUUCAGAUAAAGCAAAGCACGGCUAAACAGGCGACCAGGUUUGUUCAUACGCUGCCCAAAUCGUUAAAUCUAGAGUUGAAGAAAUGGAGAAGGAACUGCAGAAAUGCCAGCUUAAAAGGCCAGAGCCCUGCAACUUCUGAAAAUAAAAGAAGUUCAUGUUUACUACUCGCUCCCUAUCAAAAUAUCGGACCUUUUUUGACACCGUCAGUGUCAAAAAAACCUCUUGUAUUUUGAUACAGAGGGAGUACUUGUGUAAAAAUAGCACAUUAUAGUCCACGAAUCAGAUGUAAAAUCUGACAUGGAGAGAACUUCCACUGGGCAUCAGAGUGUCCACAGCUCAUACAAUAUGCUAACUGAAGAUAACCUGAGCGUUGGGUCACUCAUGCCACCGCAUCAAUCACGACAGAUCCUAGCACCAAGCGGAAAUAAUCUAAGUCGCAACUUAAUAUCUUAAUAACCAAUUUGGUACAGCACUGAGCGACUGCGGCUCGUCUUUGCGCUGAUACAGAUAGAACUAACUGUGCGCUUACUGGCGCAGCAGCUAUGUCCGGGCCAAAUCUUCCGUAAACAAGAACAGAAAUUGGCACUAGUAAACUAGUAGUAGGUAGAUCAGGUAGGCACCAUAACUACGGGUUUCCAUACAGAACCAAUGGUGUGAUUACAAAAUAUCAUCAACGUGCGGCUGCAGUAGAACCCUUCACGUCGAACGGAGAUCCCAACGGCGCGAUCAGGCCCAGGCUCUGCAUGAUCUUGAUCUGGCGCGCGCUACGCUGCUCCGAUCCCCCCUUGGCCGCCGCGCCCCUGCUCUGGUGGAGUUUGGUCAAAUCAGUGUGCGAAAUUCAUUCGACAAUCGUAUUCAGAAGAAUGGAGUGUCGACUUACAGGAGAAGAGUUGGGAUCCUUGGUCUCGGGCUUUGUCGCCUUCCCCUUUCUAGGUUUCUUCUUCGCAGCACGGCUUGAGUCAGCCUCCAGCCCACUAGCGGCCCGCUUGGUGCUCAGUCCACCCUCUGUCUCAGUAGUAGCAGCCGCCUUUGCCUCGGUAGCUUCACAGAUUCCAAAGAUCACUUCAUCCACAUACGCCAUUUCAGCAGCAAGCUGCCUGUCUAUGACGUCCCCCAGCAGUAUAUCCCUGACCAUAGCUUUUAUCUUCCGGUGGGUUCCUUCGACCGUCGAACCAGUUUUGUGCUGGCUUCGAUUCACUGAUGCCAUGUCUCCUGCUUCAGCUGCAUUUUCACUUGCGCUUGUAUCAUGGAGUUGUGGUGUGCUGUCCUCCGCCGCAUCUGAAUCCUUCAGAUUGGUACAGCCCGAUCGCUUUGAGGAUCCUUCCUUUUUGGCCACCGAUGUUCCUGAUGAUGCCUUCUUACCACUCUUUUUAUCUCGCACAACAGAAGCUUGCUUUGGUGUCUUAUCUCUCAAACCUUCAGCAGAAUCUAUACUCAAAGCUUUGUCGAGAGCACUUGCUUGCCUCACACCCUUCUGCUUUUUCCCUUUCUGAACAGCACCUCCACCUUUUGCACUGCUCCGAACUUCUUGGUCCUGCUCUAUGCCUUCUUGCUUUCUGACUUUCUUAGUAGACGUCUUGGCUGUGGCCAAUAUGGUCAGACCAUAUGAAAAAUAGAGAAUUAGAUACGUAGCAAUUAAAGAAAAAUAUAUUUGUAUCAUUGAUAGCAAGGCGAUUUAAAACUUGAUCAGCAAAAUAAAACCACACAGGUGAUAAUUUACCAACAAUGACACUGAUACUGCUCCUAGAACAUGUUACCUAAUCACACCAUUGUGAAAAGAAUCACAAACGGUAACAUAUCACUGUUAACAUAAACCACUAAUGAAGAGGGAUAACAUGAAUGAUCAAACCACAAGGACCCCCAUAUCAAUACACAGAACGUGUUUUUCUGCAUAUAUUCUCCAGGCAAAAAACGGAAAUUCACCUUUUGUGUUGACAACUUCCUCCUCAUCAUCACUGGCCGACUUAAAAUGAGAUAGCUCCUGCAUUUGUAAGAUUAAACAUGGAUCUCAACAACCUCUACCAAACUGUGAUUCAUAACAUGUUCAAAGCAAAGGUGAUUGCCCUACCUUCUGAAGCACCUCAUGGAAUGCUUCCAUGGCUGUCUUAUUUUCUUUCUUCAGAAACUGCAUACAAUGAGCUCAUAGGAGAAAUAUUUAAAAUUCAAAAUGGUCAGGGUUGGAUAUCAUUCAUGCGUUAGAAGACAAAACAACUAACUUUCUUGGAAGUUAAAUAACAAAAGCAGUUUAUAGUUUAUACAGCAGAAUCAUUUACCAUAAAAUUACUACAACUCUACAAGCAGCACAUAAGUAGUGACGCUGGGUGAGGAUUCGAUUGAUAUGGCCGGUUUAGGUAGAAAAAACAAAUAGGACAAUUAUUAACUAGAAAAAAUUUCAUUCAAUCAGCUAAGUUAGUUUAUUAGUUAUGCAACAAUGAUAAAAUAAAAUACAUGCUUUACCUGUACAAUCCUAAAACAUAUAUGUGUGAGUCGUGCUAUUGGUACAUUCUGUUAGUUAGAACAAAGCAUAUUAUAAUUAAGAACAAUUGUUAGAAUUUCAUUAUCAACAUAUGCAAUAUUAUAUAAUUUAUCAAGUGUGUGUGAAUAUAUGUCCGUCAAUUCAGCCUUUUGGUUAUAUCAGUUUCCUGGAGUUAAAAACCUAAGGAAACCAAAUUGCAAUAAUGAUUGAAGUUGUUGGUUAUUUUCGUGUUUCAGCUGAUUUAAGCUUCUUUAAUACAGUUCAGUCAGUAACCACAACUCCAUAUUAGCAUCCUCAUAAGCUGUAGGAUAGAAGAUGUGCAUACCAUUUCGAAUUCCAUGUUAGACUUCCAAGGGUCAACAUACAAGCUGAAAAUAAAAUAGUGAAGACAAUUACCUUUAUUGUAAAGAUUAUCAGUUGAUCGCCACUAGAAAGAAAAGAAAGGCUUCACAUGUUAUUAGGACCCUUACUCUAGGCAUGUGCCAUACAGUCGAACCAGAGCAUCAUGGCUGGUCUUCUUCUUGGCCUUGCUACUGGCACAUGCUUCAUCAAUGACCUUGAAUUCAGAAAUAGAAGUGGUCUAAAUAUGUGCAUGGGAAGCUAGGAUGAAGAACAUAACAGUUGGGAAAAGUCUGAAAUGUUUUGUCUUUGCAUCAUACAAGUACAAAGGUUGUGGCAUUGGCACUUGAGACUUGACCACACUAUCUUACUCAUACAUGAUCUAUAUAAUUGAUCUACUACAGAUGCAACCAUCUGCCAGCGUUCAAUUUAAGCUGAUGUACAAUGCAACAAGCAUAUUCACUGCCAUCUAGAAUUAUUUUAGAACCAUACUGGCAUCGAGUGCAGCAACAAAAUGGUUCAACAUGUUGGGGUAAUCUAAAUUGCUUAUCUGCAGCAAAGCAAAGGUAUUUAGCUAGUUGAAGUAUGAAGUGCUCAGAAGGUGUAUGCAUCAUACCUGGGCUGGCCACCAUGAGGAGCCAUCAUGCUUAACCCAUGUUAUAUCUCCUAAACGGAAAUUCUGCCUUGGGUUAAGUUCUGGAGGUUCAGAACUUGAUGUGCAUGCAGCCAUGCCACCAUGACUUUUCUCUGCACUUCUCUUCACCAUAAUGAUCAAUUCAAACCUGCAACAGCAUUAAACAAGAAAUGUUAGUAUUGAUAUUGCCCACUCUGACUGCUUGUUAGCUUGACAGAAAGCUAUUCGACCAAAAGAUCAACUUAAAUUCACUGUUAUAAAAAGCAGUCACAUAAGCCUGACUAAGUGUUAGGCAGCAACAACCGCCUGCCUGGCAGCUAACACCUGAAAUCAUCUGCAAGGAGUAGUGUGGCAGGUGCAAUAACCCACCAAUUACUCAAACAAGGCUACAGCUCAUUCCAUGGUAUGGCUGAACAUUCCAACAUCAGAUACACACCAUCACUUCCAUGUGACAUGUCCAAUUAGGCAAUUAGUGAAUCAGAGCAUCAGACUGGCUCUGGAGAUCUCAAAUGGGAUAUCGCCUUACUCUCAGUCUCUCACCGAAGCUUAAGCAGUUACUCAGUAUCAUUAUAUCCCUAAAAAGCACUUGCUCGGUGAAUUAAAGGGGGGGUGCAGGAACAAAACUCGUCCAAUAAAUCAGGUGCAGACUUCUGCACUCUGAAGUUCGCUGGCAUUUGAGUAUAUGCCCUCGUCCAGCAGUCUCUUGAUAAAAUGCAUUGGAAGUUGAAUGUGCUUCUCAUGAUUUACCUUGAGGGAUGUGUUUUAACGAAAAAUCAACAAGAUGCCGCACAUUUAUUUGCAAUUUGACACAAAUGACGCAUGUACAGGUGGCCCCAGGCCCCGCAUGUCAGACAAAGGCGUGACACUUUGCCAAAUUCCUCGUUCUUCACAUAACAAAAUCGAUUAACCCCUUCACUCGAGAAAAAAAUCAAUUAACCCUUUUUACCCGGCCAAGGAAAAGGCAGCUUUGGCCCUUCUUUCCGUUGCUCCAGCACACAGCAUAGAUAGACAGGAGGCGGAGAGCUUUCGCUCUUUGCACUUGCACGUGCACGGCGCGCCCUGGGAUAAUGGCUUGACCGAUGCCAGCAAAAAUUCGAUUAGUCCACACAUAAUGUGGUCCGUCGCGCCUCUCCCCUCGCAAAUCCCCCCCUCGAAAGCAGCCAUAUCUCGUCUCGCGAACAAAACCUAGGGUUCGUUCGUACGACGCAAAAUCGAGGGCCAAAACCUACGAUCUGGCAAGCGGAUGGGACGAGCGGCGAGAUGGUGCGGGGAUAACCUCGCUGGCAGCCGCCGCCCUGGGUCUCUGCCGGUCGCCGGGCUGGAUGGGGGCGUGCUGUUCCAGCAGCGGAAAGAGGGGGAGCGGGUGGGCGCGGCGAGCAGGGAGGGAGCGGGAGAAGAAUGCACACGGGGUGGGGCGAAGGGAAGCACCUCGCCGCAGGACGCCGCGCGGUCGCCGGCCGGAGUGGCCGCAGUGGUGGAGCAGGCUGCCCCGCUCCUUGGCGACGGCGAGGCUGCGCUGGGUGGAGAGGUCGAGGGUUCGAGUGUGAAUGGAGAGGCGAGCUGAGGGAGCUCGGGUUUGAUUAUUGCCUUGGGGGCAAAUGGGUCUUUUUGGUUUCAUUCACACUCUCGAGCGUGGGGGCGGACAGGCUGGCAUGGCAAGGAGCUGAAUUAUUUCUUCUUGGCGAAUAAUCGGGCUUCACCUGCUGUGCAAUCUAAUCUCAGAGCAUCUACAGCCGGUUCCGUCAAAUCCAGCCCCUUAUACGUCUAUAGACUGUGUCGGACUCGAACAGCCCCUCAUAAAUCAUGUUUGACAGUCACACAUCUCAAAUCCAAACUCUCAAAUUCAUGCAAACCUAUGCAUGUCCAUUAUACACGUGAAUGACGCACCAUUGCAGCUCCACAAACAGUUCUUCAGCGAGCUUGGAGCACUCUGAAUGCCCUCUUCACAUCCUUCAUGGAUGCCUCUUGCAUUGUUGCAAAGUGGCUUUGUUUGUUGCCUUGGGGUUCGGAUAUGGUCUUAAACGCCGCUCAGUGAGGAUAUAUAACAUUGGCAAGAUAGUACCCCAUGUUGUAGUCACUGCGUUGACAGUUAGGUUGCAUGGCGGUGGUUGCCCGUUACAAAGUCUCCUAAACACGAAAGAUCACUGAAGCACAUUAAUGUCGUUGUGAGAAUCAGACAUUCCAAAGAAAGCAUGUCAAAUCCACAAGUCAUGUGAUGUUAUUGCUUCCAAUAUGAUGGCGGUCUCUUUGGUGUGACCUUGUACAUCCCGCUCAAACCUUUAGGGCACUUUUUUCAUUGCCAAUGCAUGCAAUUUGAAUCGAGCAUACCUGGAAACCUUGCCUCUCGAAUAGCUAGCAACAUUUCUGUAUCCGGCACAUUUGGUUCGCUCAUAUACUCUGCUCCAAACACAUGCACCACGGUACGGGCAAACUUGACCGUGGUCUCUAGGCAUGUGCUCUUCCUCGUCCGGACCAUCUUACCAAUGGCAUCAGCGGCGGUACCGAAUGGAAGUAUCCUCAGAGUAGUCGUGCAUUUCUGCUUAGUAGAGAAUGAUAGUUAUCUUCAACAAUCCCUGGUGAGCUUGAAGUAGGGAUCGAGUGCCUCCACUCCCUCCCUUUGAUUGUGCCCUUGAAGUUGAGAAUGUGCUCCACCUCCCAGUCCAUUUCCUGUUGGAUGCUCAUGAUCAUGAUCAUCUCAGCUUUCUCGUCAUUUUGAAUCAUUUCAUCAAGUUGUGCCCCGUCCAUACUCCUCGUCUGAUGAACCGCCCGAAUCCAUCGUUUUGCAUCGGAGUAGGUGAGAUCCGAUUCAAAAUACAACUUUCAACUCUAGUGAUUACCAUAAUUGAACACUUAAAUUCUCCCCUUCGAGGUGGUCGCCGACGCAGAGCCUGGAUAGGAGGAAGAUGGUACAUCCAUAAGGAACGGUGAUGAGGGAAGAAGUGCAUAACGACGACACAUAAGGGAUGAAGAAAAAAUUAGUGCUUACGUUGAUGAUUCUGUUAACAAUGAAAUUUUGAAUAUUCUAAUUAUCAAGGCUAAUCUUGAAGAUGCCAUUUGUUGGACACACGCUCCUAAUUCAGAUUGUAAAAGAAAAAGUGCAUACAAAACUUUUGUGUAGGAGAUCCAAGGCAGCUCUUUGUGAAGACAAGCUCUUACUUCGGAUUGAGAGAGUGUUAUGCUCAGUCAAGUUGGGAAAAACAAAACCAUGGCCCCUAGGGUCAAAACUUUUGCUUGGGGGCUUAUUAGGAGAGUUGUUGCAACACAAUUAAGAGCUUCUAGGUAUUCCAGUCAUACCAACAAAGAAUGUUGUGGAUCUUGUUAAAUAGAAUUUGAUCUGAACCUUUUCUUUCAAUGCAAUUUCUCUAGCUCAAUCUGGUUUAAAUUUGACCUCAAAACUGACAUGUUGAACUCCAAUUCAUAUUUUGUUGAUAUCAUUCAAAUGAUCAUGUUUUCUUAACAAUCCGAGUUAAAACUAGAUAUUGUUUUCACUGUUCUUUGGAACAUAUUGAGAGCCAAAAAUUAUCACCACUUCAAUAAAAGAAAAUGAAGUCAUAUGCAAGUUCUUCAUGAUGCAAAGACAAUACUUACUGCGGGUUUAAUAGAGGAGAAGAGGGAAAGGAAUAUAUCUCAUGAAGAUAACAAUUAUUAUUCUCUCCUAAAUACAGAUGUGCAUAUACAAUCUAAUCUACGGGUACUCUAGCAUAUGUGGACGCAACCUUUCGAUGGCUGAGAAUGAAGCCUCCUUCAAAGUAUAUCUCAACAAUACACUCACCAAGCACACAGCAUUCGUUCAUGCGUCGGCAACAAAUGUGCAAUUUGUUUUGCAGGCUGAAGCGAUGGCCUUAAUUGCUACCUUGGCAACCAAGGCAUUGGGCUGCAGAUUUGCUUCCUCUAUUCUGAUUGCAGGACUUUGGUUGAUGCUGUGGAAUCAAGGAAUCUUCUUGCUAAGUUAUGACAUUAUUUCUUGUCUCAGGUCCGUCAAAGUGCUCCACGGUCCUAGGUCCGAGAAUCACUUUGCUCAUGCUCUAGCUAAUAGAGCCUUCUCAAACAAAUUACUUUGCUCAUGACUUCAAAAACGACAUUUGAAGCCAUCUCCUUUCCCUUGGAGAAACUACUUACGGUACAUAGGUUGUUAAUGAAUAAAAGCUAGCCCUCAAGAGCGCUACCGUUUGCCAAAACAACUUUUAUACAAAUGCUAAAUAGUUCAAUGUAAAAGUUAGUAAGGAUUUUUGUGAGUAAAUUUGUUCAAUUGUGAUGCUUAAACAAUUAUUUCAAAAUGAUAUAUAGGAAAGAACAACCAAUCUAUUUUGAAGAUUUUCAUGUUAGAACGCAAAUCUAGUGUAAAUGCAUAUUGUGAUUUUCCUGAUAAAAAUGAAGAUACUGCAUACACACACCUACCAGCUAUAAAUGCAUAUUGAUCUCAAAAAACAAAAGGCUAUAAAUGCAUAAUGUUGGAAAUCAACCAUGUUAUGCCGGGGUAACCACUAAGAGCAAGUAUAAUAAGGUGAUAUAAGCGGACUAUAAAAAUUUAAAUAUUAUGUUUUUGCUAAGUUGAAAAAAAGAAAAGAGAAGCAGACGGCCAACUUUAGCACGGGCUCCCAUAAGGUUUGUAAGAAUGAAAGAUGGGUCAUAUGUUAAUAAAUUAGUAUUUCUUGUAGCCAACUACUAUACAUGCUAGCUAUUACAUUAGCUAGCAAACUGAGUAUAGCUCAGAUGGUUACGUUCUUUGUGGUGCAAUCUCAAAAUGAUAUGUCGACUCAGUCUUUUGAAGAUACUCAUAAAGAUAAGGUGUGCGUACAUGCGUUUAUAAGGAUAAGUGUACAUUCGUCUGCGUCUCUAUUCUGUUAAAAAAGGCUAUUACAUUAGCUAUAAAUUACAUGCCAAGCUAUAUUAUUAACUAUGCUCAAAAUAUUAUCAACUAUGAUCAAACCGCAGGUUGCAACGCUACAUGUUAGCUUGACUAGUAUGUGUCUUAUUGGAAUAUAAUAUAAAUAAAUUAACUUGCCCAAAGUUUGGAUUUUCAUUUCAUGUUUCUCUUUAUGAAUAACAUUGACAACCAUAAUUAAUCGUGGCUUCUUUUGGAUCGAUGGUUGAUGCUUCGAAGCACUAGCUAUGAGGAAGUGCUACCAAAAAGGUACUUGAAGUCCAGGUAUAACAUGUCAAUGAAAAUCGAAACUGCAGUUAAAGCCAUGGCCAAAGCCUCAUAACCUGGUGAACAAGACACUGGAACAUCCCAUAUAAUUAUAAUGUGUGGCUACUACAUACAACAGCAGCCGCAGGCACAUAUUCAGCAACGCUUGAUGUUCACGUUGCCAGCCUAAGAAACAAAACUCUCAACGCCGGAAGGUAACCAAGCAACCCAACUCAACGGUUGACUGUCAUAUUUUCGGUGCAGUUUUAUUACAAAAAGCAACAAUAACAUCCAUUCGGUGUGGCUUACAGCACCGGCCGUCACUUGAAAAGAAAAAUCACAGAUCGGUCACCCCGAGGGUUAUCAUCAAUCAGGGAC